UUAAUUCCGGAAUAAACAAAUUCAAACAAAUAUCGCGAUCAAAAACCUAUUCGCAUCAAGCGACGGUUGAAAUAAUUCACUACGUGAGUGUCGGAGAUCUCCUUUAUCGAACCAAUUCGUGCUAUAAUCUUUAUCGUUAUCAUUCGUAUCAGUGUGUGUGCUGCUUCUUCGGGUUUGCUGAGUGACCUGAACCUGUCAAACUACUAUUGGUGAUAAAAAAUGUGGCCUGUGCAAGAUCGCGAUGCGGUUGUUUGUGAGAAAAUCGGCGAUUUGUGUAGAAAUGGGAAUUUAUUUUAUUAUUUUCCUGAUACGUAUCAGUUUAAAAAGGUACCUUUAUAAUCAUUUGAAGUUUUAUUCCCGAAUUCUACCCCAAAAAUCCCAUAUCUCUCAAACAAGCUCAUCAGAGAUGCAAUAUGCUCUGAUAUGAAUUAUGCAAUGCUAUGCUUUUGAGAUCAUGCUUUCAAAUCCGCCGCUGAGAAGACUCCCAGUGAGCGACCAUUCAUGUCGGACACUUCGUAGGAACUCGUUCCCUUCUUCGCGACGAUGAUGCACGGGACGUACGUAGGCCCAAGCUUGGCAUUGAAGGACUUGUUCGCCGCCGACUGCUGGAAGGAUCUCUUAAAGACGCGCUGUCCAACAUCGAACACCGAUCUUCAUCGACCUGCUCAUCAACCACCUCGACGGAUUCCAUCGUUGGCCUGAUGCCGAACUUCUGCCAGAAGUCGUAGCCGAGGAUGCACUUCCUGUUCAGCUUCGGCGCGAUCAUCACGGACAGAAUCUUCGUAACACCAUUGAACGUAAUCGGCGAUUACGCAACGCACGUUCGGCUACGCUGCGCGAUGAAUCAAACGGAAUGUCGCGGAUCUUCAGCUCAUGUUCGAGUUCAUCAACGGUCAAAUGACCCGUAUUCAUCCCGCGAUACAGUGACAACAAAUGGACCAUAUCCAUCUUGGGUGCAAAGAAAAUCAAAGAUUUUGUAAUUAAAAAGAAAAUUAAUUUAAAAAAUACUAGAAAUGAGCAAUCUCAACUACAAAUUAAGAAAAAUACCUAAAAUUGAUUCGCUAACUGAGAUAAUUUGAUAACCUAUUGAAUGAAACUGUUCAUUGAUGAACACCAACUGAUCAACAAUGAAUUGAAAAAA
This is a long non-coding RNA of Culex quinquefasciatus (southern house mosquito), 1141 nucleotides long. RefSeq lists it as uncharacterized. NCBI's taxonomy places the organism in Eukaryota, Metazoa, Arthropoda, Insecta, Diptera, Culicidae. The record is from RefSeq and is a predicted model, not a curated record. The transcript is spliced from 4 exons.